RNAcentral lists this ribosomal RNA (443 nucleotides) under uncultured bacterium. RNAcentral describes it as "partial 16S ribosomal RNA". It matches the Rfam family "Bacterial small subunit ribosomal RNA", at positions 338 to 795 of the family's 1533-position model. The record is from RNAcentral.
CCUACGGGUGGCAGCAGUGAGGAAUAUUGGGCAAUGGGCGCAAGCCUGACCCAGCAACGCCGCGUGAAGGAAGAAGGCUUUCUGGUUGGAAACUUCUUUUUUCAGGGACGAAGCACGUGACGGUCGCGGACGAAUAAGCCACGGCUGACUACAGGCCAGCAGCCGCGUCACUACGUGGGUGGUAGGGGUUAUCCGGAUUUAAUGGGUGUAAAGGGCGUGUAGGCGGGGAAGCAAGUCAGAUGUGAAAUCCACGGGCUUCACCGGUGGCCUGCAUUUGAAACUGUUUUUCUUGAGUGCGGGAGAGGUAAGCGGAAUGCGGGGUGUAGCGGUGAAAUGCGUAGAUAUACGGAGGAACACCAGUGGCGAAGGCGGAUUGCUGGACAGUAACUGACGCUGAGGCGCGAAAGCGUGGGGAGCAAACAGGAUUAGAUACCCUAGUAGUC